UGAGGAAUAUUGGUCAAUGGGCGAGAGCCUGAACCAGCCAAGUCGCGUGAGGGAGUACUGCCCUAUGGGUUGUAAACCUCUUUUUGUCGGGGAGCAAAAGCCGGACGUGUCCGUCUGUGAGAGUACCCGAAGAAAAAGCAUCGGCUAACUCCGUGCC
RNAcentral lists this ribosomal RNA (157 nucleotides) under uncultured bacterium. RNAcentral describes it as "partial 16S ribosomal RNA". It matches the Rfam family "Bacterial small subunit ribosomal RNA", at positions 355 to 509 of the family's 1533-position model. The record is from RNAcentral.